Long non-coding RNA from Aegilops tauschii subsp. strangulata, 503 nucleotides. RefSeq lists it as uncharacterized. The record is from RefSeq and is a predicted model, not a curated record. Lineage: Eukaryota; Viridiplantae; Streptophyta; Magnoliopsida; Poales; Poaceae.
CGGUAGGAUGAAGGCCAAGGCAGGCUCCCGCACCGACGACUCCCUUGCUGCUGGCGGCAGGAUGAAGGCCAAGGCAGGCUCCCGCACCGGCGACUCCCUUGCUGCUGGCGGUUGGAUGAAGGCCAAGGCUCGCGGUGAAGAAGAGCAAGGCCGACAAGGACCCCAAUAAGCCCAAGCGCCCCCCGAGCACCUUCUUCGUCUUCGCAGGGACACCUUCAGGAAGGAGUACAAGGAGAAGCACCCGACGUCAUGCAGGUCUCUGUGAUUGGCAAGGCCGGUGGUGAGAAGUGGAAGUCCCAAGUGAUGUUGCUCGAAGGAGGCAGUAUGCAAGGCACCUCCUGAUGGAUAUUGCUUGCUGGCUUCUGCUUUUUGAAUGCUUGUAUUGCCGCUGCUUGUGCCGCUAUUCCAAAAGUUAUGUAUUUGUGAACAUAGGAGAUAAGUUAUUGAUAUGUGUUGGUCUGUCUAAUGUUAUGCGAGAUAAAGUUGUGUGAGAAAGUUUUCUA